UACGUAGGGUGCAAGCGUUAAUCGGAAUUACUGGGCGUAAAGCGUGCGCAGGCGGCUUUGCAAGACAGAUGUGAAAUCCCCGGGCUUAACCUGGGAACUGCAUUUGCGACUGCAUGGCUGGAGUGCGGCAGAGGGGGAUGGAAUUCCGCGUGUAGCAGUGAAAUGCGUAGAUAUGCGGAGGAACACCGAUGGCGAAGGCAAUCUCCUGGGCCGGCACUGACGCUCAGGCACGAAAGCGUGGGGAGCGAACAGG
RNAcentral lists this ribosomal RNA (253 nucleotides) under uncultured bacterium. RNAcentral describes it as "partial 16S ribosomal RNA". It matches the Rfam family "Bacterial small subunit ribosomal RNA", at positions 524 to 776 of the family's 1533-position model. The record is from RNAcentral.